RNAcentral lists this ribosomal RNA (946 nucleotides) under Enterococcus faecalis. Its description in RNAcentral is "bacterial SSU rRNA". It matches the Rfam family "Bacterial small subunit ribosomal RNA", at positions 31 to 947 of the family's 1533-position model. Lineage: Bacteria; Bacillati; Bacillota; Bacilli; Lactobacillales; Enterococcaceae. The record is from RNAcentral.
GAACGCUGGCGGCGUGCCUAAUACAUGCAAGUCGAACGCUUCUUUCCUCCCGAGUGCUUGCACUCAAUUGGAAAGAGGAGUGGCGGACGGGUGAGUAACACGUGGGUAACCUACCCAUCAGAGGGGGAUAACACUUGGAAACAGGUGCUAAUACCGCAUAACAGUUUAUGCCGCAUGGCAUAAGAGUGAAAGGCGCUUUCGGGUGUCGCUGAUGGAUGGACCCGCGGUGCAUUAGCUAGUUGGUGAGGUAACGGCUCACCAAGGCCACGAUGCAUAGCCGACCUGAGAGGGUGAUCGGCCACACUGGGACUGAGACACGGCCCAGACUCCUACGGGAGGCAGCAGUAGGGAAUCUUCGGCAAUGGACGAAAGUCUGACCGAGCAACGCCGCGUGAGUGAAGAAGGUUUUCGGAUCGUAAAACUCUGUUGUUAGAGAAGAACAAGGACGUUAGUAACUGAACGUCCCCUGACGGUAUCUAACCAGAAAGCCACGGCUAACUACGUGCCAGCAGCCGCGGUAAUACGUAGGUGGCAAGCGUUGUCCGGAUUUAUUGGGCGUAAAGCGAGCGCAGGCGGUUUCUUAAGUCUGAUGUGAAAGCCCCCGGCUCAACCGGGGAGGGUCAUUGGAAACUGGGAGACUUGAGUGCAGAAGAGGAGAGUGGAAUUCCAUGUGUAGCGGUGAAAUGCGUAGAUAUAUGGAGGAACACCAGUGGCGAAGGCGGCUCUCUGGUCUGUAACUGACGCUGAGGCUCGAAAGCGUGGGGAGCAAACAGGAUUAGAUACCCUGGUAGUCCACGCCGUAAACGAUGAGUGCUAAGUGUUGGAGGGUUUCCGCCCUUCAGUGCUGCAGCAAACGCAUUAAGCACUCCGCCUGGGGAGUACGACCGCAAGGUUGAAACUCAAAGGAAUUGACGGGGGCCCGCACAAGCGGUGGAGCAUGUGGUUU